This 236-nucleotide ribosomal RNA is filed under the name Bacillus thuringiensis. RNAcentral describes it as "partial 16S ribosomal RNA". It matches the Rfam family "Bacterial small subunit ribosomal RNA", at positions 376 to 605 of the family's 1533-position model. Lineage: Bacteria; Bacillati; Bacillota; Bacilli; Caryophanales; Bacillaceae. The record is from RNAcentral.
CAGAAGUCUGACGGAGCACGCCGCGUGAGUGAUGAAGGCUUUCGGGUCGUAAAACUCUGUUGUUAGGGAAGAACAAGUGCUAGUUGAAUAAGCUGGCACCUUGACGGUACCUAACCAGAAAGCCACGGCUACUACGUGCCAGCAGCCGCGGUAAUACGUAGGUGGCAAGCGUUAUCCGGAAUUAUUGGGCGUAAAGCGCGCGCAGGUGGUUUCUUAAGUCUGAUGUGAAAGCCCAC